This 261-nucleotide unclassified non-coding RNA is filed under the name synthetic construct. The stretch from base 176 to 261 matches the Rfam family "Bacterial small subunit ribosomal RNA", at positions 1 to 87 of the family's 1533-position model. The record is from RNAcentral.
CCCGCGCCGCUGAGAAAAAGCGAAGCGGCACUGCUCUUUAACAAUUUAUCAGACAAUCUGUGUGGGCACUCGAAGAUACGGAUUCUUAACGUCGCAAGACGAAAAAUGAAUACCAAGUCUCAAGAGUGAACACGUAAUUCAUUACGAAGUUUAAUUCUUUGAGCGUCAAACUUUUAAAUUGAAGAGUUUGAUCAUGGCUCAGAUUGAACGCUGGCGGCAGGCCUAACACAUGCAAGUCGAACGGUAACAGGAAGAAGCUUG